Long non-coding RNA from Equus asinus (donkey), 2395 nucleotides. The record is from Ensembl. Lineage: Eukaryota; Metazoa; Chordata; Mammalia; Perissodactyla; Equidae.
CAUCAUCCAUCCAUCCAUCAUCCAUCCAUCAUCCAUCCAUCCAUCCAUCAUCCAUCCAUCCAUCCAUCCACCCAUCCAUCCAGCCAUCAUCCAUCCAUCCGUCCAUCAUCCAUCCAUCCAUCCAUCUACCCAUCCAUCCUCCAUCCAUCCAACCAUCCAACCAUCCAUCUACCCAUCCAGCCAUCAUCCAUCCAUCCAUCCAUCCAUCAUCCAUCCAUCAUCCAUCCAUCCAACCAUCCAUCUACCCAUCCAGCCAUCAAUCAUCCAUCCAUCCAUCCAUCAUCCAUCCAUCCAUCUAUCCAUCAUCCAUCCAUCCAUCCAUCCAUCAUCCAUCCAUCCAUCCAUCCAUCCAUCCAUCCAUCCAUACCCAUCCAUCCAUCAUCCAUCCAGCCAUCAUCCAUCCAUCCAUCCAUCCAUCCAAACUCCCAUCCUCCCUCUCUCACUCCCUUCUUUCCUCUCCCUCUCCAUCUAUCUGGUCAUCCACCCAGCAUCCAUCCACCCAUCAUCCAUCCAUCCACCCAUUCAUCCACCCAAAUAUCCAUCCAUUCAAACAUCCAAUCAUCCAUCCAUCCAACCAUCUAUCCUUCCUUCCUUCCUUCCAUCACCUAUUCACCCACCCACCCAUCCUUCCAUCUAUCCAUCCAUUCCUCCCUCUUUUCCUCCCUCCCUCCCUCUCUUUCUCUACAUCCUCUGGCAAGCAUCCUUCUAGACCCUGGGGAUACAGGGUAAACCUGGUCCCUGCUCUCACCAGUGAAUGAUAGCUGCAGAUGCAGAAUAAUAUCACACAAGUAAUAAUCCCACGAGAGCUGUGAGGAGCACCAGGAAGGAAGACGCAGCAUCCUACAGGGUGUGUGACCGGGGCCUCACCUCCUGUGCAGGUCGGGAGGGCUUCUCUGAGCUGCGAGGAGUUGGGGUAACCUGGUCAAGAGAGUGGAGAAGAGCUAUCCUGGCAGGCGGAACAGAAGGUACAAAGCCUCUGAGGCAGGAAGGUCUUGGUGACUCUGGAAGGGACCUCAAGGUCGAGAUGGGCCCUCGGAGGCUUUAGAUGCCGAAGCAGUUUCGUUUGGCCGAGUCAGCUGAAGGAGCACGUGGGCCUGUAAUGGGGGGAGUGCGUGUGCUGGGGGCCGGUUCACACGCCCGGGACUCCUGUGGGCAGCACGGCUCAGCUUCCCCUGUCUGUUAAUGGUACAAUCUGUUCAGACCUUUGGAACAUUCCUCAGCUUUUAUUUAAUGUGGGAAGAAUCAUUUCUGGAAUUAGCAUAUAAAUUGGCACAAGUCAGCAACUCGGGCAGAAAGCGCGUUCCCAGGUGUCAGGCUGGACGGCGGGGACGAUGACCCAGUGCUCCAGGCUCUGGCUCCUUCCGUCUUCCUUCAAGGGGUAAAGACAUGCUCUGUUUAAAAAACUCCAGACUUUCUCCCCAGAUCUGCAACUUGGGAAAGAAUACAUGUCCCCUCCGUGCUGGCCACAAGGGGAGCGAGGGGCCUGGCCAGUGACGGGAGGCGUGGGAAUCUUUUCCAGAUUAUGACGCGCGGAGGGAAAAUUUUCCAGCAGGGAUGUCUCCCCACGGGCCUGCCUUCUAGAACGAGGUGAUGGAGAGGGAGCCCCAGAAGUGUCCGCUCCCUAGCUGUCAUGUCUGGUCUGGCCGGGGGCAGAUACUUUACACGUUUUAUGGCCCCAUUAGUUCUGGGUCUUUUGGAAAGGGGUGACCAGUUGAUCACUUAACUGUUUGCUACUUGUGGCAUUCCAAAUUCUGGCCUCAGAGAGCCCGUCCACGUGCUGAUUCCGCCUACCCGUUGGGCCAUGGCUGGGCGGGCCUGCCUUCCAGCUGCGGGCGGGGCACAUGCCCGCGAUGCCAGGGGCUCGGCCGUGGUCCCCCAGCCCCCUCGGGCGCUGGCAGAAAUGCUUCACCUCCCUUCUCGGCAUUCCGGCAGCCCGUGGACCCUCCGCCCCCGUUGUCUUCCCCAGGCUGUGGGCGUCCACCCCUGAGAAGCCGCAGACGAGCUGAUCCUUGUCGUGCUGACUUCUGCUCGUCGUGUCCUGGACAACCUCGGGGCUGGGUUUCCUCUUCUCGGUGGCUUGGCCCCCAGGCCCGGCCUGGGUCGCUGCUCUGCCUUCCUCAUGGACCAGCGUGUCUGACAUUCUCCCCCCACAAGAUUCCUGCGUGGCUUUCGGGCCUGGCUGGAGGGCUCACCUCCAGGGGACGCUGGAGGACACUGUGACCAGCCCGUUGUGGACAGACUGGAAUUCGGGGCAGCGGGGCACAUGGCCUCAGUCGGAGGAAACAGGAGUGCCUGGAAUUGGAGCGAAGGGCGUUAUGGUAUCAAUGUACCUUAUCUUGUGUAAUUGGAUGCCAGCGGGUCGCAAAGUCCCGGCUGACGCCUGUCACCCGGCGUC